RNAcentral lists this long non-coding RNA (343 nucleotides) under Mytilus galloprovincialis (Mediterranean mussel). Lineage: Eukaryota; Metazoa; Mollusca; Bivalvia; Mytilida; Mytilidae. The record is from RNAcentral.
UGUUAACCCUUCAGAAUAUAAAAUGAAAGGUUUGAUGUCACUAUGUAUUGUAAAAGUCUUAAAUAAUUUGUCUAUUUUUAUCAAAAAACUUAUGAAAUAUCUAUAAUUCUAAUAUAUUAUCACUUACAUGUAAUCGACUGGCGAUCUCAUAUCCCAUUAUUUUAGCUUUGAAUGAUUAUCACGUGUUAUGUAUGUGUAUACUUGUGUACAGAGAAUUAGGUAUGAUGAACUAUGUAUGUAUAUUUCUUUCUAUCUUGUUCACCAUUGUAAAUUAUUACUUGUAUUAUUUGUCUGCCUCUUGUUACAGUGUAAACUGUCUAGAGUGUUAAUAAAAGUUGAAAGU